Molecule: long non-coding RNA, 808 nt
Organism: Cyprinus carpio (common carp)
Lineage: Eukaryota; Metazoa; Chordata; Actinopteri; Cypriniformes; Cyprinidae
Source: Ensembl
CUACGCCAGCCAUCUCUGCUCCUAAUGGAUGUUUGUGAGGAAAUGAAUAGCUCUUCUUUUCCAUUAAGUGUAUUGGAGGAAUUAGUAGUUUGAGCGUAGCCACUGCAAACCAUGUUAUAUAAAAGUUCCAUCUCUAAUGCAUUUAACCCCCCAACCCCACCCACCCUUCUCACCAUCAGAUGGGAAUAAUUUUUAACAGAUGAGCCCUAAACUUCGGAGAAAGGCAGAUGUCAUGCUUUCUGGAAUUUACAUUUCUGGUUCUAGUUCAACUGUCUGAAACUGGAGUCAAUGGCCAAGCGAAGAAAAACUCUCUCUCUCUCUUUAGUUUUUCUUGUCUGCAGGCAUGCCGAAAUGCCUUGGAGGUGGCACUGAGGACCCUUAGAGCUCAGGAAGAUGAGAAGGAGGCCAAGCAGUCACGGUUAAAGGCCAUCCACAGUCACUCUUCUAAUCAGCAAGCACUUCUUAAUCAGCUAUGAGGUCGUCUGGAGGUGGACAAGUGAGUACCCAAUUCUUAUACACAGACGUCGGUCACGUAUGCCUUUUACAUCAAUGUACGUAAAGCACUUCACUCUUUCCUUCAGUUUCAGGUAACAAGCUAUUAUUCAGUCUGACACCACCCUCUCUUAAAGGGAUAGUUCACCCCAAAGUUAAAAGACUGUUGUCUUUUACUCUGAGUCAUGUCAUUUAAAUUCUGUAUGAUUUAUGUGGUAAGUACUGUAUCAGUAGCUUCAUUCCUGGACGAGAAUUGUUGCAUAAUAUGUUUUAUAUCUUGAAUAAACAUGGAUUGCACAUAUCUGGUGAAUUUUAG